CGGGGCGGCGCGAGAUCUCAAAGAUGUGCUCAAUGUACGACAGGUUGGCCUUGUCCAGCUUGCUGUGCUUCUCCAGGAAGGCGAACCAAUGCUGGCUGGUGGCGAUGGCCUCUCCCUCCCCGCUGGGGAUGUCCUCUUUGCACGCGGAUUUGAGCUGCUCCAGGUCCUCCGCGGUGAUGUUCUGCGCCAGCUCCUCCAGCAGGCUGCGGUACUCGGCCAUGGCGGCCGGCGGCGGUUCCGGCGGCGGUUCCGGCGGCGGUGGCGGUGCUGACGGCGGUAUCGGCGGUGCCGCUGCGGCCGCUCCGUCUGUCGGUGCUCCGCUCGGCGGGGCGG
Molecule: long non-coding RNA, 333 nt
Filed under: Gallus gallus (chicken)
Lineage: Eukaryota; Metazoa; Chordata; Aves; Galliformes; Phasianidae
Source: RNAcentral